This 2849-nucleotide long non-coding RNA is filed under the name Homo sapiens (human). RNAcentral's name for it is "non-protein coding lnc-OR51B6-1:4". Lineage: Eukaryota; Metazoa; Chordata; Mammalia; Primates; Hominidae. The record is from RNAcentral.
AAGAGUCUUGGGAUGGCUGAAGAGGUAAGAACAUUCUAUAAGACUUGUCCAAAGAACUGACUGUUUAAUGAUUCUGAAUAUGCUAGUUCAGAGAGAAUCUAUUUACCACAAACCUGAAGUAGGCUUAAAUUUCCAGUUUACCUGAAUGGUUAUGACCUAAUUAGAGGAAUGACUUUAUAAACAUAUAUAGAUACAAAUAUAUAGUGUAUAUUUAUUAUAUACUAUAUAUUUAUUAUAUAUUAUAUAAGCAUAAAAUGUAAUAGAUUAUUGUAUAUAUUUAAUAACAUAUUAUUACAUAUUUUAAUAUAUAAUAUAUAAAAUGUAUUAUAUUUAAUAUAUAAUGCAUGUAAUAUAUAAAUAUACAUUAUAUAUUAUAUAUUAUGUAAUAAAUAUAUAUUAUGUAUAUACACAUUUAUCUAGACUUUAUUACAUAUUUCAUUAUAUAUUUUAUAAGAUUUCUAUAAAUAAUAUUCCCAUCAUUACUAAAAUAUUUUUUAAAAAUUAGCCAUACCUUAGAAGCAUUAUAAAAAAUAUAUGACAUGGUCCAUCUGUUCAACUGUAGCCAUCUAACCAUUUGAGAAGUUUUUAUAAGAUUUAUAGCAUUUGAUUGUACCAUGACAUAAAUCAUCUCAUGCAAGAUAGUGUAUUUGUUUUGUUGGCUUUAAUAUGUUCCCUUUUCUUCAGAAAAUGUGAGACAGCUUAAAAUAAAAUUAACUAUAAGAAACUGGUAAACACUGAAUGAAAGAAGAAAACCAAGCAGAAAAGUAAAAGGAGGUUACAAAUAAAUUUAUAUUUUAAAAACAUUUUUUAUUUGCCUGGCAAAUAAUAAGUGCAUAUAUUAAUGGAUACAAUAAUAAUAUAUAAUAUAAAUAUAUAAUAUAUAUAAUAUGUUAUGGGAUACAAUGUGAUGUUUGAUCUAUAUAUACAUUGUAGAGAGAGUCUAUCAAGCUAAUUAGCAUAUGAAUCACCUUCCAACUUUUUUUGUGGUGAGAACAUAAAAUAUUUAUUUUUUAGCAAUUUUUAAUUUAAAUACAUAAUAUAUUAUUAACUGUGUUCACUAUGCAGUGUGAGAGAUCACUAAAACUUAUUCCUCUAGUCUAACUGAAGAUCAACUUCUUUCCCUUCCCAUCCCUCCUCUACACUCUCAGUCAGCCUAUGGAACCAUCUUUCUAUUCCCGUUUUUAUGAAAUCAACUUUUUAAAAAAUUCAUCCUUAAAUAUAUUAAAAUGAACAGUUAAAUUUAUGAGGAUAAAUAAUUAAAACUAUUACACAUAUUUUAAGUUGUCCUCUGAAAAUUCUAGAAUUCUACUUCAAUACCCUUAUUUUUAAGAUAAAGGAAAUUGUAAAGGCUUUCUAAGAAAUCGAGUACCCAUACCUAGGCUGCUAGACUCCAGGUCCAAUUUUUCUCCAGGGGGUUACUAUGGCUUCAGGGAAGCUAUCUAUAAUCACCAUCUCCAGAACAUCUCUCACUUUCUCAUCACCACACAGUGGAAUAAGAAUAGUUUUGGCAGCAAUAAAAAAGUAAUGCCAUAUCAAAUUAGUAAAGCCUUCAGAAAAAGUAUGAAUAUUACACAGUUACACUUAUAUUAGAACUAAAAUUUAUUUAUUGAAAUUCACAUUACCAUAAUUAUUUAUGUCUGAUUAAAUGUUAUUAAAGCUAAAAUUUUGAAUUUAUAUACUACUAUUAAUUUCCAGUUCUAUCUUUCUGUUCAAGAAAAGAAUGUGAGAAGUAAAUUAGUGCCUCAAAUUUGCCUACUUCAUCCCCAACAGAGGAGAUCAUGACUAUAUCAAUAAUGGAGCCUGGGCCCAGACAACUGGUUAAGAGAGAGGUCAUUCUGACCUCAGAACAUAGGAGAGAUGGAUAUUGUACACCACAGAGUCCAGGAUGACUAGCAGUGAAGGAUUCAAAUGCCUGGCGAAAUCUCCUAUACAACCGGAGAGACCCAAGUCCCCAAAGACAAGAAGGGAUGAUGAAAUGGCCUCUGCAUGACAUGACUUGCCUAUGAGCCCUCCCAUUGCUAUAAGGAUGGGGAUCUUAGCACAGUGCCUUGUGUGAACAGUAAUGCUAGCCUUGAUUUUACCAUGGCAAGUUUGUUUAGGGAAAAAUUCAACCCACCCAUUGAAAUUCCAACCUCAACCAAAUGAGGGAUGGCUGGGGAUGCAACCACAAAGAUACUGUAUCUUAGGAGGGGAGUUUUUUUUUUUUAUAGAAACUCGUCAGGAUAUUAUUGCUAGGAUGUGUUGUUACUGGGAAAAAAGCUGAUGGAAUACAAAAGAGUAGACAUCCCCACAGGGAUUAUUUGAGGCAAUCAGUGACUAACAUGACCACUUUGCUUUCUCUAUGCAGGUGUCAUCUAUUGUGAUAUAGUGCCAGGAGGUUGCCUUUGCUGUGGCUUUCGACCCUAGAUUUUUAAAUUGUGUGACAAACCCAUCUUUUAUUUAUGUAAAUAAAAUGUCCGUGUUUAUUGGUUAUUGUUAUAUUGUGAAAUUGUAGUAGAUCUAAAAUUGUAAUUUCUUGGAUUCCUAGAAUUUCUAAAUCUGUGGAUUUUUAGAAUUCUCUAGAGGUGACAAAGGUUUAUUAUCUAAGCUACCGGAGCUAUGUACUUUUGGAUAUAAGAGUGUCUCCAUCUCCAUUGCCUUACAAAUCAGGUGUGAGCCAGGCAUGUCUCUCAGACUGGAAAAGGUAACUAAUCAGAAGGAACCAUUGUCCUAGAAUGGGGCAAGUGUACAAUACCCAGAAAGACCACUGGUGCCGUAGCAUAUAACAUAUUCACUCAAUCCUUCAUACCCUUUGUAUCGUUUUUUUUCUGUUUUAUUUAUUUUAUUUAUUUAUUAGAGAUCAUAGUGUG